This 68-nucleotide transfer RNA is filed under the name Rhopalopsole subnigra. Its description in RNAcentral is "tRNA-Leu". It matches the Rfam family "tRNA". Rfam says of the family: Transfer RNA (tRNA) molecules are approximately 80 nucleotides in length. Their secondary structure includes four short double-helical elements and three loops (D, anti-codon, and T loops). The record is from RNAcentral. Lineage: Eukaryota; Metazoa; Arthropoda; Insecta; Plecoptera; Leuctridae.
UCUAAUAUGGCAGAUUAGUGCAAUGGAUUUAAGCUCCAUAAAUAAAAAGUUAACCUUUUUUGUUAGAA